This 1348-nucleotide long non-coding RNA is filed under the name Cricetulus griseus (Chinese hamster). Its description in RNAcentral is "lncRNA (ENSCGRG00015040650.1)". Lineage: Eukaryota; Metazoa; Chordata; Mammalia; Rodentia; Cricetidae. The record is from RNAcentral.
CAUGGAGGAGGAUGCCGAAACCUCCUUCUACCUCUGGAGUUUUUCAAGCCUUUAAUGUGGCAUGUAGGAAUAGCUCGUCUGGUGCAAGGAUGUUUGUUUAGGAGGGCAGGGGAACUAGAAUCAGAUGCUUGGUCGGAUGCUCCCAGCCUUAGGGCCUUUAUGUAGGAAGUGGGAUGAUGUUGCUUCCGGUGAUCCUGGGGCUAAAGUGAGCUCCUAAGUUUCAUGACAAAGGAGGACAGGGGAUUCUGAAAAAGCACGUGGGGGACCUUGGCGGAUUCCAUGGCAGGCGAGGUUGACCGAGGCAGGGAACAAACAUGCCAGACAGACAGCUUAAGUGAGAAGUUUUAUUAGAAAGGGGAGGGAGAGGGAAGGAAAGAGAAAAGAGGUAAAGAGACAGCGACACAGAGAGAGGACAGAAGAGAAGAGGGAGACAGGAAAAGUCCCGUCUGCUGCAGGGGAACAGCAGGAAAGAGAGCAUAAGUGGGCUGGACGGGAGGUCUUUCUUUUAAAGGAAUCCUUUGCACCUGCGUGCAGAUGCCUGCGUCCUUACACUGAUCAUCUCUACUUCUCUUCAGGGAACAUCAAAUCCCCUGGAGCAUAGUCACAAGCCACUUGUGAACCACUCAGUGCAGGUGCAGAGAUGUGAACUUGGGUCCUUUAAAGAGCUGCAAGCCCUCUUAAGGACUAAGCCAUGUCUCCAGCCCCCUACUUGGCUUCUCAGUGUAAGUUUAGACAGAAGAGGAUCGAAGGGGAUGUAGGAACACAGUGCAUCUCUUACCUCUGUCCACAAAUGCAGACACCAUGUCUUGCAUGUUCUGACAGGAGUAGUCUAAGGACAUAGAAUGCACCCAUACCUGCCCACACAAGGACCAUCUGCCCAGGGGUGGCACCACCCACCAUGAACUGAGCCUUCCCACAUCACACCCCUGCCACUACAGCUACAACUGCCUCACCACCGUGCCUUCUCUUCUGCAGUGGACUGUACCUCAAACAGUGAGCCCAAACCAACCUUCCUUCUUGACGUUGCUUCUGAAGUUAUUUUGUCACAGCGGCUAUAAGAGUCAGCCACACACCAUGUUUUGUGAGAACUCUCAACUCUCAGCUCCCAGGCCAUCUGGUCUUCUUUGGUGGAAUAAGAAGGAAUGUUAGAAGUUGAGGCCUGGGGUGAACAGUUUUAUGUCAACUUGGCAUAAGCUAGAGUCAUUUGAGGAGAGAGAACCUCAACUGAGAAAGUGCCCCCACUAGAUUGGCCUCUGGGCAAGCCUGUGAGCUAUUAUUUUCAUUAUUGAUCAACGAAGGUAGGCUCAGCCCACUGUGGGUAGUGAACCCCUGGGCUGGUAGUCCUGGG